This 440-nucleotide ribosomal RNA is filed under the name uncultured bacterium. RNAcentral's name for it is "partial 16S ribosomal RNA". It matches the Rfam family "Bacterial small subunit ribosomal RNA", at positions 338 to 795 of the family's 1533-position model. The record is from RNAcentral.
CCUACGGGAGGCAGCAGUAGGGAAUAUUGCUCAAUGGGGGAAACCCUGAAGCAGCAACGCCGCGUGGAGGAUGAAGGUUUUCGGAUUGUAAACUCCUUUUGUUAGAGAAGAUAAUGACGGUAUCUAACGAAUAAGCACUGGCCAACUCCGUGCCAGCAGCCGCGGUAAUACGGAGGGGGCAAGCGUUACUCGGAAUCACUGGGCGUAAAGAGCGCGUAGGCGGGAUAGCAAGUCAGAUGUGAAAUCCUAUGGCUUAACCGUAGAAGUGCAUUUGAAACUGUUAGUCUAGAGUAUGGGAGAGGUAGGUGGAAUUCUUGGUGUAGGGGUGAAAUGCGUAGAGAUCAAGAAGAAUACUCAUUGCGAAGGCGGCCUGCUAGAACGUAACUGACGCUGAGGCGCGAAAGCGUGGGGAGCAAACAGGAUUAGAUACCCGGGUAGUC